AGUGAACGCUGGCGGUAGGCCUAACACAUGCGAGUCGAACGGCAGCACAGUAAGAGCUUGCUCUUACGGGUGGCGAGUGGCGGACGGGUGAGGAAUACAUCGGAAUCUACUUUUUCGUGGGGGAUAACGUAGGGAAACUUACGCUAAUACCGCAUACGACCUACGGGUGAAAGCAGGGGAUCUUCGGACCUUGCGCGAUUGAAUGAGCCGAUGUCGGAUUAGCUAGUUGGCGGGGUAAAGGCCCACCAAGGCGACGAUCCGUAGCUGGUCUGAGAGGGUGAUCAGCCACACUGGAACUGAGACACGGUCCAGACUCCUACGGGAGGCAGCAGUGGGGAAUAUUGGACAAUGGGCGCAAGCCUGAUCCAGCCAUACCGCGUGGGUGAAGAAGGCCUUCGGGUUGUAAAGCCCUUUUGUUGGGAAAGAAAAGCAGCAGGUUAAUACCCCGCUGUUCUGACGGUACCCAAAGAAUAAGCACCGGCUAACUUCGUG
Molecule: ribosomal RNA, 492 nt
Filed under: uncultured bacterium
Lineage: Bacteria
Description: partial 16S ribosomal RNA
Rfam family: Bacterial small subunit ribosomal RNA
Source: RNAcentral